Molecule: long non-coding RNA, 1538 nt
Organism: Cyprinus carpio (common carp)
Lineage: Eukaryota; Metazoa; Chordata; Actinopteri; Cypriniformes; Cyprinidae
Source: Ensembl
UUCUCUCAGACUCCAGGUUAUCCACAUAGAAAAUUUAAUUGUCAAUAAUGCAAAAUGACAGUUAAAGGCAGUUCAUCAUUGAAUCCAGUGAUGUCAUCAUGCAGCUCAGUUCAGUUUAAAUAGUAUCUGUGCAAUAAUUUGCAAUAAAGUCAACGAUAUCGCUGUAAAUGAAGUGUCCCCAACUAAGCAAGCCAGAGGCGACAGCAGCAAGGAACCAAAAUGCCAUCGGUCAAGUCAAGUCAAGUCAAGUCACCUUUAUUUAUAUAGUGCUUUAAACAAAAAAGAUUGUGUCAAAGCAACUGAACAACAUUAAUUAGGAAAACAGUGUGUCAAUAAUGCAAAAUGACAGUUAAAGGCAGUUCAUCAUUGAAUUCAGUGAUGUCAUCAUGCAGCUCAGUUCAGUUUAAAUAGUAUCUGUGCAAUAAUUUGCAAUCAAGUCAACGAUAUCGCUGUAAAUGAAGUGUCCCCAACUAAGCAAGCCAGAGGCGACAGCAGCAAGGAACCAAAAUGCCAUCGGUCAAGUCAAGUCAAGUCAAGUCACCUUUAUUUAUAUAGUGCUUUAAACAAAAAAGAUUGCGUCAAAGCAACUGAACAACAUUAAUUAGGAAAACAGUGUGUCAAUAAUGCAAAAUGACAGUUAAAGGCAGUUCAUCAUUGAAUUCAGUGAUGUCAUCAUGCAGCUCAGUUCAGUUUAAAUAGUAUCUGUGCAAUAAUUUGCAAUAAAGUCAACGAUAUCGCUGUAAAUGAAGUGUCCCCAACUAAGCAAGCCAGAGGUGACAGCGGCAAGUCGGGGGGCCAGUUCUCCUCUGACCAGACGAAACCAGCAGUUCAAUUCCAGGCUGCAGCAAAGUCAGAUUGUGCAGAAGAAUCAUCUGGUUCCUGUGGUCUUGUCCCAGUGGUCGUCUGAGACAAGGUCUUUACAGGGUAUCUGUCUCUGGGGCUCUAGUUGUCCUGGUAUCUGCUGUCUUUCAGGGCUGUAGAGGUCCUUUCUAGGUGCUGAUCCACCAUCUGGGCUGGAUACGUACUGAGCUGGGGUUGAGGCUGAAUGCCAAGAAGCUAUGCCAGUCACUUUAUGUAAAGCAGUUUCAGUGACUGUUGGGUCUGAUGGCAGCAGCAUCCAACAUAAUACCUUUUGACCUGCUUUACAUGAGACCCUUGCAGUGGUAUCUCAGGAUCAAGGGGGGCAACCCAUAUCACAUGAUCAAGGUCACGUGGUGCGCUGCCUUUGUGCCUUAGUCAUGUAGAAGAAACCUUGGUUCCUGUCUCAGUGACAGAUUUGGGGAGAUUUGGAGCAUUUUUGGCCAGACUCAAGUUGACCUGUUUGCGUCUCUGAAGACUUCUUUUGGGACUGGAUGCCAUGGUACAGACGUGGCCCAGGCUGGAGAAAGUUUAUGAGAGAAUCUAGAGUGCUUCUGUCUUGAGAUGUGCGCUUCAACUUCACACUAGACAUUUGUCAGUAUGGUGGAGUUGGUAAUCUCGUUUGCAAAACGUUUCCGAUACAGCACGAGUUCCUGAACGGGAACGCCUGUAGGUAACUG